This is a long non-coding RNA of Astatotilapia calliptera (eastern happy), 1057 nucleotides long. NCBI's taxonomy places the organism in Eukaryota, Metazoa, Chordata, Actinopteri, Cichliformes, Cichlidae. The record is from Ensembl.
CAAAGGUUUAUUUGCAUGACGCACAAACAGACACAAUUGAAAGGUACAAAUGUGCAUGACACGAAUUCAAACGUGCUGCAGAUGUGUGUCACCAGUUGAUCUGGCUGUAGGCUGUGGCACUUGGCCAGAGGUGGCGCUGGUUGACUCGACUCCAUGUUGGUGCACAGAGCAAACUGCUCGCUUUAGUUGUGGAGCAAAAACGCUGAAUUCGGUGAAAUAAACCGUGCGAGUGGAACGAUAACGACGACAAGGGUCUCCCGAUCGUUUACUCUUGCUGUCCUGUGAACAACAACGGCGUGGUGUUACUUGUUUGCUGUUUUCGCGAUCGAGUCGCGCAUGAGGAUAUCACCAGGAGCUCCUGAAACGCAAGACUGCCACACAUCUGUUCGACCAACGCCAGUUGAUCUAAACGCCAGUUGAUCUGGAACACCGGAGAGCAGAGGCAGUCGCUCGUUAAGCUUAACGUGGGAAUGCUUUACAAACAUUCAGAGAUGGACUUACACACUUGCUUUACUUCUCUCGGGGAUAACUUUGUCAGAGAUGAAAUGCCAGGUUGCUAGCGAAGCUCCACAUGCUAUCCAGACCACCGACAGGUCCCGCAUGCCACAGCUGCUCUAUCACGUGAUGCAUACUGCUCCGACUGCUAACGUUCUGAGUAAAUCCUAAGAGAAGAUCAGAACCAUCAAUGAAUAAACAUCUGUGAACUGCAGGUCCUGAGCUAGUGAUGAGCAAAUGAAGCUUUCUGAAGCACUGAAGCUUGUAUUGAAAAACUAUUUCAACACAGUUCCCCUUGGUGACAUCUGGUGGCCAAAAAUAUGAAGAGCAGCUUGAACCUACAACUUGUAAUGAACUGCUUCAUUAUGCCCAGUUAACAGAGCUGAAUUGACAGCCUCUGUUUGAUAUCAUGUGACAGUUCUGUCUGAUAUCGGGCUGAUAUGGUGUUUUGAAGGUGUAUUUUUUGUUGAAAAAAUGAUGUUAUACCCAUUUUAAUAAUAUUGAUGAAUACAUUUUCCUUGUUUAAACAUGUGCCAUGGUGUGUUCUCCUUUUGCUUGUGAC